CCUACGGGAGGCUGCAGUGGGGAAUAUUGGACAAUGGGGGGAACCCUGAUCCAGCCAUGCCGCGUGUGUGAAGAAGGCCCUCGGGUUGUAAAGCACUUUCAGUGAGGAAGAACGCCUGGUGGUUAAUACCCAUCAGGAAAGACAUCACUCACAGAAGAAGCACCGGCUAACUCCGUGCCAGCAGCCGCGGUAAUACGGAGGGUGCGAGCGUUAAUCGGAAUUACUGGGCGUAAAGCGCGCGUAGGUGGCUUGAUAAGCCGGUUGUGAAAGCCCCGGGCUCAACCUGGGAACGGCAUCCGGAACUGUCAAGCUAGAGUGCAGGAGAGGAAGGUAGAAUUCCCGGUGGAGCGGUGAAAUGCGUAGAGAUCGGGAGGAAUACCAGUGGCGAAGGCGGCCUUCUGGACUGACACUGACACUGAGGUGCGAAAGCGUGGGUAGCAAACAGGAUUAGAUACCCCAGUAGUC
Molecule: ribosomal RNA, 465 nt
Filed under: Vreelandella stevensii
Lineage: Bacteria; Pseudomonadati; Pseudomonadota; Gammaproteobacteria; Oceanospirillales; Halomonadaceae
Description: partial 16S ribosomal RNA
Rfam family: Bacterial small subunit ribosomal RNA
Source: RNAcentral